Molecule: ribosomal RNA, 274 nt
Filed under: uncultured bacterium
Lineage: Bacteria
Description: partial 16S ribosomal RNA
Rfam family: Bacterial small subunit ribosomal RNA
Source: RNAcentral
AUACGGAGGGUGCAAACGUUGCUCGGAAUCAUUGGGCGUAAAGCGUGCGUAGGCGGCUUGGCAAGUCGGAUGUGAAAGCCCUCGGCUCAACCGAGGAAGUGCAUUCGAAACUACCAAGCUUGAAUACUGGAGAGGGUGGCGGAAUUCCCGGUGUAGAGGUGAAAUUCGUAGAUAUCGGGAGGAACACCAGUGGCGAAGGCGGUCACCUGGACAGAUCUUGACGCUGAGGCACGAAAGCGUGGGGAGCAAACAGGAUUAGAAACCCCAGUAGUCC